ACCGUACUCCUACGGGAGGCAGCAGAGGAGAAUUUUGGACAAUGGGGGCAACCCUGAUCCAGCAAUGCCGCGUGAGUGAAGAAGGCCUUCGGGUUGUAAAGCUCUUUUGUCAGGGAAGAAACGGUAGUAGCUAAUAUCUAUUACUAAUGACGGUACCUGAAGAAUAAGCACCGGCUAACUACGUGCCAGCAGCCGCGGUAAUACGUAGGGUGCAAGCGUUAAUCGGAAUUACUGGGCGUAGAGCGUGCGCAGGCGGUUGUGUAAGUCAGAUGUGAAAUCCCCGGGCUCUACCUGGGAAUUGCAUUUGAGACUGCACGGCUAGAGUGUGUCAGAGGGGGGUAGAAUUCCACGUGUAGCAGUGAAAUGCGUAGAUAUGUGGAGGAAUACCGAUGGCGAAGGCAGCCCCCUGGGAUAACACUGACGCUCAUGCACGAAAGCAUGGGGAGCAAACAGGAUUAGAUACCCUGGUAGUCCUUGAC
Molecule: ribosomal RNA, 479 nt
Filed under: uncultured bacterium
Lineage: Bacteria
Description: bacterial SSU rRNA
Rfam family: Bacterial small subunit ribosomal RNA
Source: RNAcentral